RNAcentral lists this long non-coding RNA (721 nucleotides) under Glycine max (soybean). RNAcentral describes it as "long non-coding RNA (GMAX_LNC003110)". Lineage: Eukaryota; Viridiplantae; Streptophyta; Magnoliopsida; Fabales; Fabaceae. The record is from RNAcentral.
AAAGAUAAAAUAUAUUUAUGAUGAGGUAUAAGAGUACCUCAACCCGUAUACAAGUGUAACAAUUCUUACAGAGCUUUUAUUCAUAACAAAGGAUCUAUAUAUAUAGAUAAAAGAAAACCCUUAACUUUUCCAGUUAAGUAGUACCAAAAUCUAAAUUUUAUCAAGUCCAACAACACUAUCUCAGCAGCAUAUCCAACCUAAAUGGUUUUAUGGUAUCCUUCUGAUAUGGAAAUAUGUCAAAAGCUUUUUCCAUAGAAUCAGAGGAUGGUGCAGCUAUUGGGGUAUGAAUCAUAAACUCUGGGACGAUACAUGGGAGCUGAAGGUGGAAAAUAUGUGGCAGUGGCACACAUUGGACAAGUUGGAAGAUAGGUGGUACAUAUUGGAGAAGGUGGAACAUACGUGCUAUUAGUAUAUAUUGGACAAUUAGGAAUAUGGUAAUUAUCAUAAUGAGGUUCCUUUUGCGUGACUUCUUCUGUUUCUGUUUCUGCUUCUUCUUCUUCUCCUCCUCCAUCUUGACCACCCUCAUCUCCUUCUUCUAAAUCUUCGACACUUAACAACGUAGCGUAACGGAACUUCUUUCUCAACUGAUUUACUAAGCAAACAGGAUCCACAUCAUUUCCAAUCACCACCACUUGAUCAUUAUUGCUUUCUUCUUCUAAGGACAGUGACUGCACCCCUGUAUGUUUGAUAUAUGGCCGUGAACACAACCGCAAUUUAAAAC